GGGGAGGAAGGGCCCCCCUCCCUGUCCCCGGGGCUGCGAUAGAGCCAGAUCCCGGGAAGCGUGGCCUGGCUGCCUCCUGCUCCCCAGACCCCCGUGAACGGAGCCGGCCGGGCCUGGGCGAGUCACCCACGGGCGUGCGGCAGCCCUCGGCACCCCCUCCGGGAAGAAGCACCUCAGUCCGCCCCGACCCUGCAGGCUGCUGCCCACCAGGGCCGGUGGCCUGGCGCAGAGCCUGCCGCGAAGCGCUCACUGGUGGCUCCCCAUCUGCGGCGCUGGAUGCGUGGCUUUCGGUCAGUUGUAAGUAAUUGUACAUCAAAGUAGGUGGCUUUUACCCCACCGAUUUCCUGAGCUGAGCCAGGCCACAUGCUGAGGGCUCUGCCCAGCUUGCUGUGGUGGCACAGUGGCUUUAAAUUGAUGUGAAUAGCCCUAAAGUUCCUACCUCUACUGAAGGCACCAGCCAGGGCCUUCAUUGACCCACUAGUAAUGGCCUCAAAUUGAGCUUGGCUGGCUGGAUCUGCUGCAGCACCUCCACUAGUGACUUGGCACAUCAUGUUUCGAAGUGGCUUGGUGCUUGGCAUCACCAGUCCCUCAUUCCUACUAGUACCCGCCGGUGACGAGCCAGGUGCUGCCUGUCAAUGACGUGAAGUAUACUGAGGUGCCCUCACCAAGAUUCACAGAUUCAGCCUUGCAUCAGCACUACUUGUGUUCAUUGCCUUCCUCUAACUCACCUUGUCAUGGUACGUAGCAUCAGAUGAGACAACACGCAUGUGCUCUCUUGCUGUCUAAGGGUCCUUUCUCCCUAAUUCCACAUUUUAAUUAGCAAAUAAGAUUACUUCACUUUAAGAAGGUCGGCAGUUAUAGCAUAUCACAAGAAACAUGACUGUUCAAAAGAACAGUCCAGCCUGGAAGGCGGUGAAUGGGCUGGUGUGUCCUAGCCUGGUGUCAGGAUGAAGAACAGGAGGCUUCGCCUCAGGGAAAAGCAGGCAGGACACCUAUGCAGAUGCUUACAAAGGGACCAGGAUGCAGCAAGCAGCACUGCUAGCCUUGUAACUGUGACAAGUGUCACUGGUAUUCACCAGUUUAAGACCAGGUGAGUCCAAAGAGGGCUGCUGCCAUUUAUUUUCCAGCAGGUGACUCCGUGGCAGCCUGAGGCUGAGGACCUCUCACCGCAGGCUACCAACAGCCCUGUAUAGUGCUGCUCACAUUCAAUCUGGGCAGCUUGUGGGCCUCUGUAGAGGCACUUGGCCCAGGCAUCACGGCUCCAGCAUCCCCUCUGCCAUACGGAGCCAUGGGGCUGCCCUUCCCCAGGGGCUGCUCCCCACGAUCCACAUCCCAUGUCAAUGCCUUGGAGGCGCUGCCACAUCGCUACCUCCAGAGUGACACAGGGGACACUUCGCUCUGCAUUGCUGGGCUGUGGCACCAGCCCACAGCCACCCAGCACAGCAAAAAGGCAAGCUUUUGCAUGAUAGAAGCAAUGCAGCACCACUCUCAGCUGAGCAGCUCAGUCUGAGGUCACUCAAGAUGCAAGAAGACAGCGAGCGGUGAGGCACCUCUCCUUUCCUUGCCAGAUACGCUCCCAUUGUGUCUGCUUUGCUUUCCAGCCUCUCAAAGCGUUUGGACUUUGUCAGAGAUGAAAGUGCUGUGCCUGGGCUCUGCCGCCAAGUGCUGUGUGUUUCACUGGCAAGGCUUUCUCUUGUUGGCAGACUUGCCCGCCAAAGAAAAAAAAAAACACGGCCAAACAAUUGCUUUGGCUACAAUUUUUGUAGAGCUGCACAAACACCUUGCUUAGAGCUCUGUUGAAUGGUCUCUUAUGAGCAUAAGGCUCGAGGCCACGGCCAAGAAGGAUGUUUGCUGUCUGUGUUGCUCUUUCAGGUUCAAGCAGGGCCCAGUGCUACUUCUCUUUGACCCGUACCAGUUCAGGACGGCUGAGGGUGGCAGCAAGGGUCUGUGAAUGACACCAGCAUUCUGUCUCCUAAUUUGGUUAAAUGUGUCUCCUAAUUAGGCUGGGUUAGAUGGCAGUGUGUGUGUGAUCAAGGGUAGAGGGUAAAACCACAUUCCUGUGUACUGGAUCCUGGCCUUUGUGGAAGGUGGGUACAGUCACCUGACCCUUCUCAGGAUAAGCCAACGCUGGUGUCGCUGGCAUGACUAAUGUGUGGUCAGUUGUGAGGAUUAGCUAAACCGCUCUUGCUCCUACCACAUCAACCUAUUCCACGGCAAGUUUUCCACUUCUGUGAGAGGACGUGGAAUGAAAGCCAAGCAUCCAUCUGGGCCGCUCAGGGCAACAGCGCUUGCACAGGAAGGGUUGCUCCAGCCCUACCUGGGCAGUAGACAGCGACAGCUUUGCCUCGUUGGCUUUCUUGCUCCAGGUUUCCUGGGCAAUGUGCCUCCCUGUGCCCCCGGCAUCAUAGGCUGGAACACGCUCACUUAGCUGCCCUGGCAGUCUGCCCGUAGCCGCUCACGUCCCCUCUGCUUUCAGUCCAGAGGCUCAUUGCACAAAGCAGCCUUAUUUCCCAAAGGUCUGGGUGUGUUUCUUGCCAGGCUUGCAUCUGUCUCACCUGCUGGGGUAAGUGCACUUGGGUGGGGGUCCCUGGGCCUUGGGAGGGACGGGCUGUCACCUGCAGCUAGCCUGCCCGCCUGGGGAAAUGGGCUCUGACAUGCCAGCCGGGUGAUGUGGCAAGCUCGGCCCAAGGGAACGGGGAAAAUGAGAACCUGGGGGGCAGCUAGGGUGCCAGGCGGGCCUGCCUGGGCUAGCACGUGCUUGGUGGUGGGGCUUAACGCCUCCUGUACCCUGGGGAGUACAGUCCUGCUGGGCUGAGGCUGCAUGAGCAGGGUGAGAGGAGUCUUACAGAAACAGUUCUCCAGAGACCAAAGGAUCCCUGCUGGAGCUGGGAAGGUCCCUGCAUCCAAGGUAAGCAGGUGGGAACAGGCACUGGUGGCUAUAGGGCAAGAGGUGCUAUGAGCAGGGAUGGGGGAGCACUGGAAAGGAGGGUGGGAGCUCAAGAUCUACUUGGGCUGAGCAUGGGCUCCAGCAGGGCAAGCACAACGCAAACAAAGAGGUAAGAAUAAGAAAAAAGCUUAUUUGUGGGGAAGGGAGCAGAAAUUGUGUCUGUACCUUAAAAUGGGAGUGAGGGGAGAAACGUCUUCUACUCAAGAAAGCACUGAAGAGCUUUUUGUAGCACACUGUAGGAUGAGAUACGACAAGCUGAUGCUUCCCGUGUGAUCCAGUUAUUUAAUGCAAUGUGCAGCCCUUGGAAGUGUUAGUGCUUAACCAUUACUGUUAAAACAUUAAAAGGCUAAACUAUAAAUAGCUUCCACUCUUCAGCAGCUCCAAAGCUAUGUUUCUGGCAUCUUUAUGUAUUUAUGUGUAUGCAUAGAUGUGUGUGUACACAUAUAUUUAAAGGCAAGCAGCAGACAACAGAGUUUUGUGAAACAAGUCAUACUAAAUAUCUCAAAUGCUGCCAUUUCUAGUUUACACUACUAGUGGAAACAAGUAGUGUGCCCUCAAAAAUACCCCUGCUGGGGGAAAGACAAAACUUUCUUGAGGGCAGAAUUCAAGAGGAAACAAAAUAAUGAUUCAAUUUCUUGGGGGAAGGAAAAAAUAAAAUAAAAUAAAAAAGGCAAAUAUAUGCCUGAAAGAAAAACCAGAAACUAAAUCCCUAAUUAUACCCUGCAGUAAGCUGUCAGAAACUGGCAGCAGUGGGAGGGAAGGAGGCAAAGCUCAUCUCAGUGAGUUUCAGCAUAAUCUGCUCUAACCAUACUUAAAAUGCCUUUUGUGUGGGAAGGGAACAUUCUGGGAUUCUCUGACACAUGCUUUGUACUGUACUUAUCUAAUCGUUCAAAUGUCGGUUAAACAAUGAAGGGUUGAAGUUACAGGCAAGUAUAGAAGAGUUUCACCUGGCCAGCACAAAAAUUCAAUUUUGGUUUGUCUGCCUCCAAAUGCAGUCUUUGUAACUAAACUGCUGAUCUGGCAUCACAGUUUGGGGAAUACAGAUGCUCUUCAAAAGGGUAUAAAACUGUAACAAUCUAUUGCUUGUAAUUACAUUUCGGUUCAAAGAGCUUUUGAUACCAGCAUAAAAUGCAAAGACAUUUUUUUCACGCUUGUAGUGGGGUAGGGGUUUGGAGAGUGAAGCAGAUUUGGGGUUUGCUCUUAUUACUUUGUACCCAGUCUUAGCACACAGUGUGUAUUGGAACUGACCUUCAGGAGCAAGUAAAAGUUCUCAGCAGUUGAACUGACUGAAAGGGAAAAGCAGGUUUAUGAUAGUGGAUUAGAGAAAAGUGCUUUCUUAAUGGAACAAUUUGGUUCCUAGAGAAUAUGUAGCUGCCUUGCUGGUGUGGGGCUUUAAACCGUGGCAGACUGGAUUGACUGUGUGGCUGCAAAAAUCUGUAAAGACUUGUGCUUUUAUAAUGGAGGUUAGAUAGAUUCGGUAAAGGAAGGGUUUGGGCAUGCCUCUAAAGAGCCAAGGUCUGUACCAGGUAACUGCUUAGCUUGUGUUCAAGGCCCACCAGAAUCCAUAGACUACGCACAUCUCGGGGAUUACUCUGGUAGGCGUUUCUCACUGCAUCCACCCUGGAGCAAACUCCAACCUGAACAGGGCUCUCAGUCCCUCUCGUUCAAGUUGUUCCUUCCGCAGUGUUUCACGAUGCCAGUGUUUAACUCUGCUCCUUAUGUUGGUUAAGGACUUCUAUGGGACUUCAGCUUCCAGCUAGAGCUGUCUCCUACAAGGGACAACUUAACUCCAGGCUGCCCUUUUGCUUUGAACAAUGGUGUAGUGAUUAAAAGCAUUCACCUGGGGACGUUCAGGUUUUAAUCUUUCUGCCUAACUGAACCUUGAUACGCCCUAUCUUGGGCAAGUGCUCCAGCUGCCGGAGUACUGGAUAAAAGGAGAAAGCUGGUUAAUGCUUUUUAUUAUUAUUUAUUAGAGGUCGGGGCCGUAGGUCGCUUCUCCUGGAGGUAGAAUACAAUUCAAUUCCUCUCUGCUGAGAAUGGGAAUCCUUGUCCAAUCCCUCCAAAACUGCUUUUACUGCUUUAUCGAUUGUUCCUUUCAACAUCAGGUUCUCAGGACUCUGAAUCAUGCUUGUUUUGCUGUCUAAUGUGCCUUCUGUAAGCCGUACACUCUGUAGACGGAAAACCUUCCAAUGGAAUGUCUUAUAAGAACAAUGCAAGUGAAUUGGCUGUUUCUAGACCACUAAGGCUGAUGGUUUUCACCUAGUAGGAUCUUUAAUUUUCCAUUUGCUGAAAUCAGUGGAAGCUUCUGGCUCUAAUCUGAAAGUCUGCCAGUUAGUAUGUGUCUUCCUAACUCCACUCGCCUUUUUCAAAAGGUACCAGGGCAUGACUCUUGUCAAACAAAUUGGGUUUCUUUUAUGAUCACAAAGGGUUUCACACAGAGCCAAGUAAUAGUGGUAAGGAUGGAUUUCCAUAUGCCCUGAGGCUUGUUCUUCAUCUGCAAUAGCAGAUUAAGUUGGUGGAAUCUAGCUUGUAGCUUCCAUACCCAGUAGACAUAAUCACUACAAACUGCUUAGGUCAGGUCACAACUAAAUGCCUACCCUGAAAUGAUCUCAUGCACAGGUGGCAUCCCAAAACUAGCCUUGACGGUGAACAGACUGUCAGGGCAUCAUAGCUUGUGAUGUGUCCUUCCCACACCACCCCCAAGUUGGAAUGGUCAAAGUUAUACUCAUCUCACCUGACUAUGGCAGAUGUGGAGCUUACAGAGAAUUACAGUUUGGCUUAGUCAAAAGAACUGCUGGAGGGGUAUCUUUCAAGGUGGUUCCCUCAAGAAAAUCUGAGAAUGGCUUGAUGAACAGAACAAAAGACAGAAUUUUUCCUGAUCGUCUUCUAGGGCAAAGAUAUGAAAAAGACCAGGAUAAUACUCAUGAAAUGUACACACAAGAAGUUAAAAUUUAUUUCAAAGAAAACAUUUUUUAUUAUUUUAUAUAUGUGCUAGAUCAAAGGAGCAACUCUGGAACUAGGCUGAAAUUAAUAUGAAAUCUAAAAUAAUCACAGCUUGUGAUUUCUUUGCAUGAUAUGUAAUCACUCUGCUACAGUGCACAUGACAUAAUCUGAAACAUUAUGAACCCAUUUAUUGGAGGGAAAAAGACACACCAGGAUUAAGA
Long non-coding RNA from Falco peregrinus (peregrine falcon), 6111 nucleotides. RefSeq lists it as uncharacterized. NCBI's taxonomy places the organism in Eukaryota, Metazoa, Chordata, Aves, Falconiformes, Falconidae. The transcript is spliced from 2 exons. The record is from RefSeq and is a predicted model, not a curated record.